This 460-nucleotide ribosomal RNA is filed under the name uncultured bacterium. RNAcentral's name for it is "partial 16S ribosomal RNA". It matches the Rfam family "Bacterial small subunit ribosomal RNA", at positions 338 to 795 of the family's 1533-position model. The record is from RNAcentral.
CCUACGGGUGGCAGCAGUGAGGAAUAUUGGUCAAUGGCCGGAAGGCUGAACCAGCCAAGCCGCGUGAAGGACGAAGGUGCCAAGCAUUGUAAACUUCUUUUGUCAAGGGACAAAAUCAGGCUCGAGAGCCUGACCGAGGGUACCUGACCAAGAAGCCCCGGCUAACUACGUGCCAGCAGCCGCGGUAAUACGUAGGGGGCAAGCGUUAUCCGGAUUUACUGGGUGUAAAGGGGGCGCAGACGGCAAUGCAAGCCAGGAGUGAAAGCCCGGGGCCCAACCCCGGGACUGCUCUUGGAACUGCAUGGCUGGAGUACAGGAGGGGCAGGCGGAAUUCCUAGUGUAGCGGUGAAAUGCGUAGAUAUUAGGAGGAACACCGGUGGCGAAGGCGGCCUGCUGGACUGUGACUGACGUUGAGGCCCGAAGGCGUGGGGAGCAAACAGGAUUAGAUACCCCUGUAGUC